Molecule: ribosomal RNA, 305 nt
Filed under: uncultured bacterium
Lineage: Bacteria
Description: bacterial SSU rRNA
Rfam family: Bacterial small subunit ribosomal RNA
Source: RNAcentral
UCCCUACGGGGGGCAGCAGUGAGGAAUAUUGGUCAAUGGACGAGAGUCUGAACCAGCCAAGUCGCGUGAGGGAAGACUGCCCUAUGGGUUGUAAACCUCUUUUGUCAGGGAGCAAUGCCGGCUACGUGUAGCCGGACUGAGAGUACCUGAAGAAAAAGCAUCGGCUAACUCCGUGCCAGCAGCCGCGGUAAUACGGAGGAUGCGAGCGUUAUCCGGAUUUAUUGGGUUUAAAGGGUGCGUAGGCGGAAUAUCAAGUCAGCGGUAAAAAUUCGGGGCUCAACCCCGUCGUGCCGUUGAAACUGAUG